AUUGAACGCUGGCGGCAGGCCUAACACAUGCAAGUCGAGCGAGAGGCGGACGGGUGAGUAAUGUAUGGGGACUGCCCGAAAGAGGGGGAUAACUACUGGAAACGGUAGCUAAUACCGCAUACUAUCGGAUAACCCAUAUGGGAUUAGCUAGUAGGUGAGGUAAUGGCUCACCUAGGCGACGAACCCUAGCUGGUCUGAGAGUAUGAUUCGCCAAACUGGGACUGAGACACGGCCCAGAAGCCGACGGAGGAAGAAGUGGGGAAUAUUGCGCAAUGGGCGAAAGCCUGAUGCAGCCGUGCCGCGGGUAUGAAGAAGGCCCUAGAGUUGUAAAGUACUUUCAGUCGGGAGGCGUUACCGACAGAAGAAGCACCGGCUAACUCCGUGCCAGCAGCCGCGGUAAUUC
RNAcentral lists this ribosomal RNA (403 nucleotides) under uncultured bacterium. RNAcentral describes it as "partial 16S ribosomal RNA". It matches the Rfam family "Bacterial small subunit ribosomal RNA", at positions 30 to 526 of the family's 1533-position model. The record is from RNAcentral.